CAGCCGCCGCGGUAAUACCGGCGGCCCGAGUGGCGGUCACUAUUAUUGGGCUUAAAGCGUCCGUAGCCGGGUUGGGAAGUCCUCCGGGAAAUCUGGCCGCUUAAAGGUCAGAAUGCCGGAGGAUACUCCCAGCCUAGGGAGCGGGAGAGGCCGAGGGGAUUCCCGGGGUAGGGGUGAAAUCCUAUAAUCCCGGGAGGACCACCUGUGGCGAAGGCGCUCGGCUGGAACGCGUCCGACGGUGAGGGACGAAGGCCAGGGGAGCAAACCGGAUUAGAUACCCGGGUAGUCCUGGCUGUAAACGAUGCGGACUUUGUGUCGGACAAGCUAUGAGCUUGUCCGGUGCCGGAGGGAAACCGUUAAGUCCGCCGCCUGGGGAGUACGGCCGCAAGGCUGAAACUUAAAGGAAUUGGCGGG
RNAcentral lists this ribosomal RNA (414 nucleotides) under uncultured microorganism. RNAcentral describes it as "bacterial SSU rRNA". It matches the Rfam family "Archaeal small subunit ribosomal RNA", at positions 459 to 872 of the family's 1478-position model. The record is from RNAcentral.